RNAcentral lists this unclassified non-coding RNA (347 nucleotides) under Hevea brasiliensis (rubber tree). Lineage: Eukaryota; Viridiplantae; Streptophyta; Magnoliopsida; Malpighiales; Euphorbiaceae. The record is from RNAcentral.
GAGCAGAGAUCAAGAACAUGAUUCAACAGCCUUGUACCAAUGCCUAGGCCUCGGUAUGGUGCUAAAACACCUAAUGUCAUGAUGUAAACACGAAAAGCCCCUCCUUCCUUCUUCUCCAGCCGGCAUGCAAUUGCACCAACACAGAUGUCACUGUAAUAUGCAAGUUUAGUGAAAUCCCCGGAAGCGAGGGCAUCAGCAUAAUAUUUGUCGUUGUAGCGAACGGGGAAUAGUGCAGUAUUUAGCUUCUUGAGUUGCAUCACGUUCUUAUCCCUCACUCCGUCCAGAGAUAUCGACACCUCACGCCCUGCCCCCAUUUUCUUUAUCUCUUCACUCUACCUAGUAUGUGU